Long non-coding RNA from Homo sapiens (human), 2946 nucleotides. RefSeq annotates it as TMA16 antisense RNA 1. NCBI's taxonomy places the organism in Eukaryota, Metazoa, Chordata, Mammalia, Primates, Hominidae. The record is from RefSeq and is a predicted model, not a curated record. The transcript has 2 exons.
CGGACGCCGAGGAAGAGGCGACUAAGCCCACAUACUGAGUCUACCCAGGCCAGAGAGGCAGAGGUUCCCGAAACCGCACCCUCCCUCUCUGCCUGCUCAACAAGAGCCUUCCGGGGAACCAACCGAGCGGUUCGGGGGAGCAGGAGGGGGCCCACCAUGGUGACGUCCUCGUGGCCACGGAGCAGCUCCGCACUCUAGACCCAGGUAAUCUCACCAACCGCAGGAGCAGCAGCUCACAAGAGCACCCGGGCCGAAUCCCACGUGGCGCCUGAGAAGCCCGCGCCGACCCAACCGGAACAGGAGAGGCGAGUGCGUUUCUCUAAAGCGUCCCCGUUAACUGAGACCGCGUCUUUUUCGCCCGUGUUGGGCUUUUAAGCUCUAGCCCAACGGACAGCCAGACCUGCGUGCUCGCCGGGAGCGGCGGAAGGGAGCUUGCGGCGGGAGGCUGAACUCUGCCUGGUGCUGAGUGCGAGGCUGGGGAUUGGAGCCCGGGUGGAGACGCUACACGCUUCCGGCCCCAAGAGCGGAGCUUGCCCAUCUGUCCCAGAGCACGACUCCAGAGCGCAGCAACCUCUUCAGACAAGAGGUUCCCUCUUGCGGGCUCCCGCAUCUCAGGGGCUGGGACCCUCUCAAAAGGGCCGCUCGGUGUUGGCUCCCCGGAGCUCUUGCACGGCACAGGCUCCUGCCCUCCGCUUUUCCACGUACUAGAUUACCUUGGGCAAGUCCUUUCCUGCACUGAGUCUUUUUUUGCCCUGCCCUGCCCUGCCCUGCCCUGCCCCGCCCCGCCCCUCUUCUCUUUCCUUUCUUUUCUUUUCUUCUUUCCCUCUUUCCCGCCUUCCCUCAUUCCCUCUUUCUUUCUUCCUCCCGGGUUCAAGCGAUUCUCCUGCCUCAGCCUCCCGAACAGCUGGAAUUACAGGCCUCCGCCACCACGCCCGGCUAAUUUUUUUUUUUUUUUUUUUUUUUUGUAUUUUUAGUAGAGACGGGGUUUCGCCGUGUUGGCCAGGCUGGUCUCGAACUCCUGAUCUCAGGUGAUCCGUCCGCCUCGGCCUCCCAAAGUGCUGAGAUUACAGGCCUGAGCCACCACGCCCGGCCGAGUCUUAGUUUCUUUAUCCGGAAAGGCCACUUCCUCAUAUUCAAGGCCUCUGCCAACCCAGUUUUUGUUUUCUUCUCACAGCAUGUGAGAGUCUUUGUUUCACCCAUACAUGUUAGAAUUCCGUAGACAAUGUAAUCAUUCAAAAACUAUUUAUUGAAUGCCUACUGUGUGCCUGGUACUGGGGAUACUCCAACAAUAUCCCUCACUCAGCUCAUUUUCCAGGGGAUGGAGGCAUGUAAAAAUAUUAUUUCAAAUAAUAUAAGUACUCUAAUAAAAAUUAGCUGGCGGGGGCAUGUAGAAAAGCUGUUUUACACAUGGUGGUCUCUAUAAAGUCCUCUUUUAGAAGUGAUAAUUGAGCAGAGACCGGAAUUGUAAGAGAAAACUAGGCAUGGGAAGAAGCUCCAGGCAGGGUGAAGCUGGUGUGCCUUGAUAUGUGUGUGCAGCUGUUAACAGUUGAGGGUAGUUGGCUAGGUCCUUGGCGUUUUGAACAAAUAAUUGGACAAAACACACAAAUAAAGCAAGGCAGCGAAAGCAGAGAUUUAUUUUAAAUGAAAGUACACUACUCCACUGCGUGGAAGCAGGCUGUGGCAAGCUGCUCAAAAGCACAGGUUGCAGAAUUUUCUGGGGUUUAAAUACCUUCUAGAGGUUUCCCAUUGGUCUUCCACAAGUCUGAUUGGUUGAGGAAGGGGACCAAUCUGAGGCACUUUCAUUUUUCAACUGCCACACAGAAAAAGAAGGGCUUGCAACUGCCAGGCAGCAACUGCCAUGCAGAAAAAGGAGGGGUUGAAGGGGAGUAGUCUUUCAACUGAUAUCCCAUCAGCACAAAUCAGUCCUAGCUUCCCUGCUUCCAGACCCUAUUCUCCUGCCGCACAAAUACUUGUAUUUAAUCGACAGAUAUAUCAAUUUUUGGAAAUAAUUUAAAUUGUAAACAAGAGUGUGUCCAGAAGAUUCCUGAAUCUAGGGGCAAGGUAUUUUCACAUGGCUUUUUUUGUGUGUGAAUCUAUGCAAUGAAGGUCACCUUUGAAUAUAUACUGUGGAGGCAGCACAUUCAUGCAUCACUUAAGGACGGGGAUACUUUCUGAGAAAUAUUUCAAUGGGGGUUUUGUUGUUUGUUUUUUGUCAUGUGAAUAUCAUAGAGCACACUUACACAAGCCUGCAUGGUAUAGCUUACUACCCACCUAAGCUGUAUGGUAUAGCCCAUUGCUCCUAGGCCACAAACCUGUACAGCAUGUUACUCUACUGAAUACUGUAGGCAAUUGUAACACAAUGGUAAGUACUUGUGUAUCUAAACAUAAGAAAUGUACAGUAAAAAUAUAAUCUCAUGGGAUCACCAUUGUAAUGCAGUCCAUGACCAAAACAUUGUUACAUGCACAUGACGGUACUCUGUGAAAGACUCCAAUUAAUCUAGAAUAUUUACACCCUAGCUCCAUACUUUAGCCACUUCCUGUGAAGCCAUCUUUCACCCACCCUACCCCAUUCCCUAAGUCUGGCCCUGUGGAGAUCACCCUCCUAAGUUCUAUGUUACUGCAAAUCUUUUAAUUAUUAAAUUUUCCUUCUGGCUAUUUUAGCUGUUACUGAUUGCUCUAUUGAUCAUAAAAUUCCUACCUACUCCUAACCCAUUCCUAAACUUCAAAUUGCCAACAACUCAAUAAACCAUAUAUCUUGAAACUUUUAUUUUUUAUUUUUAGUUGAGUUUUAGAAAUAAAUCUUCAUAUUUUCCUCAUUCAGAUUCAACCCCUAAAUAACAUUGAUUAUAGACAUGUUAAAAAUAUACUGUAUAUGUUCAAAAUACACUGUAGCAAAUACAAACAUGAAUUAUACAGAGCAAGAAUAAAGAUAAUAAUGAUGGCUAA